UACAUGGCUGAAUGGAGCCUUUUCUCCAUAUCAUAACUGAAAAUUAUAAAUGAUGAUUUCUCUCAUUGUACAUGACUGUCGUUUGGAUAUAGGAUUGAAAUUUCCAAACAAUAUUAAAACACGCAGAAUACGUAAUUCCUUAGAAAAGCAACAAAUCUGCAGAUAAAUGUUUGUAAUUUACAGAAAUGGGUUAAAAGUAGAAAAUCCAAUGAAGUAACAAUUAGUAUGUGUUAUGCCGGUGUACAACAUGAACGCAAAGCAACAGUAUGGCCUGUGCCAGGUUUGUUGCCAUCAUUUUUAACUGAUGCCUAAAUCAGGUGUUUGGCUCCUUGAAUAUAUACAUUAGGGACCGACUACCUGGGAACUGAACUCCUCAACAAAAUUAUCCCAGCUUAACAUCUUAAUUGAAAGAUGGCACCUUUGACAGUGCACAACUCUUUCAAUAUUUUACGGAACUUCAGCCUAAAAUAUGUACAAACGUCUUUGGAGUUGUCAAAGGUCACGUUAACUCUGUUUUCUCUCCACAGGGAAACCCGAGCUGUUGAGUAUUUCCUGUUUUUAUUUUGAUUUCUCAAAUGCAUAACUUUCUGACCCAGAAGCUAAUGUGAGAGCUUCAGUGUGUUGAGAAGAGCACCCAACUUUGUCUAAUCAUCUUCAACUCGAUUUCUUGGCUUCCCAACACAGAGCAGACAUCUACAGCAGAAUGGACCAGGCAGGUGGUGGGUUGCCCAACAUCAGGCUCCUCACCCCCCUACAAGGAGAGAAUCCUAGCCCUGGCAAGAGAACACUGGGACUGUUCUUGCAGGGAUGCAGAGACAUCCAUGUCUCACCAACUGAGCAACUUGCAGCUGCUGAGCAAGAAACUUUCCACAUUCUCAGCAAAUGAAUAAAAGAUGCAGUGGGUUGCUCCUGACGACGAGAUGGGCCUCAGCAGAAUUCUUGUGUGAUUCUGCCACAAAUCACACUACAGACCUCAUCACUCAGGCCCCUAUAAGAUUCUGCUCAGUGAUCAUCAGGCUCAAAUGGACAUUUUCCCACAUAAAUACAGCUGGCAAGCAGAUACAAACCAACAGACUCUCCAGAGUGAAUACAACAAAGUCCAAAAGCAAGAAAACAUGUGCAGAUCUAAUUAUCCUGAAGCUCAGUCUCUCACUUCACCAGGGAAUUGCAUGUUUGCUCUGGCAAGCUGAAAUCCUCAAUGUAACCUCAAUUAUUUCUAGGUGGAAACUACAUCCUUAUGUCCCAGCAACUGUAAACAUUUGUAACAAAGUUGGUGUAAUAUCCAGUAAGCAGACAUUAUUCCUUUUGUCGUUGCACCAAGUGCUGUUGGCUAAACUACAAUGACUGCAAGUUCCAACCUAAUUACACAACAUAUUUUCUAGAUUAGAAUUGCAUGUCUUUUAUUUAUGCAGUUUGCUUCAAAUACGCCUACACUUUUGUACUACUGCGUCAAAGUUUCAACCAGAAUCGAAUUGAUUGGUCAUGAGACAUACUUUCAGGGUUAGUUAGAAUGUUCAUAAUUUGGGUUUGGAAUAAAAGGUAAUGCUGGACCUUUAUAUUUAUGGUACAAGUAAAUUUCACUAAAUAAGUAAGUUUAUGAAUUUUUAGAAAUAUAUCCUGCAAUAUUUGACACUGUUAGUCAGUGACCGUGUGUUGCAAUCAAUACUGCUUUAGGACACUACAGGAGUUAGGCAACACACAUUACAUUAUUCAAGGUCAUUUAUUUACAAUAAUCUCAUAC
This is a non-coding RNA of Chiloscyllium plagiosum (whitespotted bambooshark), 1741 nucleotides long. Lineage: Eukaryota; Metazoa; Chordata; Chondrichthyes; Orectolobiformes; Hemiscylliidae. The record is from RefSeq and is a predicted model, not a curated record.